RNAcentral lists this ribosomal RNA (253 nucleotides) under uncultured bacterium. Its description in RNAcentral is "partial 16S ribosomal RNA". It matches the Rfam family "Bacterial small subunit ribosomal RNA", at positions 524 to 776 of the family's 1533-position model. RNAcentral also lists the same sequence under 1 other name. The record is from RNAcentral.
UACAGAGGGUGCAAGCGUUAAUCGGAAUUACUGGGCGUAAAGCGCGCGUAGGUGGUUCGUUAAGUUGGAUGUGAAAGCCCCGGGCUCAACCUGGGAACUGCAUCCAAAACUGGCGAGCUAGAGUACGGUAGAGGGUGGUGGAAUUUCCUGUGUAGCGGUGAAAUGCGUAGAUAUAGGAAGGAACACCAGUGGCGAAGGCGACCACCUGGACUGAUACUGACACUGAGGUGCGAAAGCGUGGGGAGCAAACAGG